UAGAUUUAAAGAUGCUUUUUACUAAGAUCAUAUAUGUGUUGCUUUGCUAUCCAUGCUUAGAAUUACAACAUAUGCAUAGUCUAGGUUACUCUAGAUUGGUUACCCUUGCUCUAUCUAUUAUUUGUCUGUACAUGCUUAGUAGAUUGGAUCUGAAUCUCUCAUAAACACCAAGUUAAUACUAACAAUGCUAGUUGAAAUAGAUCUUGUGCUAUAAGUUCCACGGAUUGAUAAACCUUGGGGGAAUACUC
Molecule: long non-coding RNA, 248 nt
Filed under: Setaria viridis
Lineage: Eukaryota; Viridiplantae; Streptophyta; Magnoliopsida; Poales; Poaceae
Description: long non-coding RNA (SVIR_LNC000865)
Source: RNAcentral